RNAcentral lists this ribosomal RNA (254 nucleotides) under uncultured bacterium. RNAcentral describes it as "partial 16S ribosomal RNA". It matches the Rfam family "Bacterial small subunit ribosomal RNA", at positions 524 to 776 of the family's 1533-position model. The record is from RNAcentral.
UACGGGGGGGAGCAAGCGUUGUUCGGAUUUACUGGGCGUAAAGGGCGCGUAGGCGGCGUGACAAGUCACUUGUGAAAUCUCCGGGCUUAACUCGGAACGGUCAAGUGAUACUGUCGUGCUAGAGUACAGAAGGGGCAACUGGAAUUCUCGGUGUAGCGGUGAAAUGCGUAGAUAUCGAGAGGAACACCUGCGGCGAAGGCGGGUUGCUGGGCUGACACUGACGCUGAGGCGCGAAAGCUAGGGGAGCGAACGGG